This 72-nucleotide transfer RNA is filed under the name Dendronephthya gigantea. Its description in RNAcentral is "tRNA-Arg". It matches the Rfam family "tRNA". Rfam says of the family: Transfer RNA (tRNA) molecules are approximately 80 nucleotides in length. Their secondary structure includes four short double-helical elements and three loops (D, anti-codon, and T loops). Lineage: Eukaryota; Metazoa; Cnidaria; Anthozoa; Malacalcyonacea; Nephtheidae. The record is from RNAcentral.
GCCUUCGUGGCCUAACGGAUAAGGCGUCGGCCUCCUAAGCGAAGAUUUCGGGUUCGAAUCCCGUCGGAGGUA